AGGCCCAGCGCUUCGCUUUCAUGAGUCUUUCGAAAAGACGUCGCUCGCGCGUUCCACUGAAGAAUUACGUGACGAUGCGACUCCGCCUUGCUGUAGUUAUUCUCCAAAAGAGGGUAUUCUGCCCGUGAAGUGAUUUAUUGCUGGUCAGUCUUUGAAUCGCUCUUUGUUAAUCGAGAUGGCAGCAGCCUUCGCACCUCCCCUCACUGUCUCCGUUGGUCAUCUGCAUUCACUGGGGGAAUAGGAAACCACAGACUUUUUAUACUACCUGAUGGGACAGAUCAUGGAAAGUCAGAAGUAUCUUAACACUGAACUAAAUUGGAUAUCCUUUAAGACUCGAUUGCACAGGAUAAUCCACUCAGUGGUGCGAAGUACCCGUGGUUCGUCCAUGAGGCCAAUGUUGAGAAAAGACACAGUCACGAGCUUUCUCGGGAUGG
Long non-coding RNA from Thamnophis elegans (Western terrestrial garter snake), 434 nucleotides. RefSeq lists it as uncharacterized. The record is from RefSeq and is a predicted model, not a curated record. The transcript has 3 exons. Lineage: Eukaryota; Metazoa; Chordata; Lepidosauria; Squamata; Natricidae.